UACAGAGGGCUCAAGCGUUGUUCGGAUUCAUUGGGCGUAAAGGGUGUGUAGGUGGCGCGCUAAGUCGGGUGUGAAAUUUCGGAGCUUAACUCCGAAACUGCAUUCGAUACUGGCGUGCUUGAGGACUGGAGAGGAGACUGGAAUUCAUGGUGUAGCAGUGAAAUGCGUAGAGAUCAUGAGGAAGACCAGUGGCGAAGGCGGGUCUCUGGACAGUUCCUGACACUGAGACACGAAGGCCAGGGGAGCAACCGGG
RNAcentral lists this ribosomal RNA (253 nucleotides) under uncultured bacterium. Its description in RNAcentral is "partial 16S ribosomal RNA". It matches the Rfam family "Bacterial small subunit ribosomal RNA", at positions 524 to 776 of the family's 1533-position model. The record is from RNAcentral.